Molecule: ribosomal RNA, 492 nt
Filed under: uncultured bacterium
Lineage: Bacteria
Description: partial 16S ribosomal RNA
Rfam family: Bacterial small subunit ribosomal RNA
Source: RNAcentral
AGUGAACGCUGGCGGUAGGCCUAACACAUGCAAGUCGAACGGCAGCACAGUAAGAGCUUGCUCUUACGGGUGGCGAGUGGCGGACGGGUGAGGAAUACAUCGUAAUCUACUUUUUCGUGGGGGAUAACGUAGGGAAACUUACGCUAAUACCGCAUACGACCUACGGGUGAAAGCAGGGGAUCUUCGGACCUUGCGCGAUUGAAUGAGCCGAUGUCGGAUUAGCUAGUUGGCGGGGUAAAGGCCCACCAAGGCGACGAUCCGUAGCUGGUCUGAGAGGAUGAUCAGCCACACUGGAACUGAGACACGGUCCAGACUCCUACGGGAGGGAGCAGUGGGGAAUAUUGGACAAUGGGCGCAAGCCUGAUCCAGCCAGACCGCGUGGGUGAAGAAGGCCUUCGGGUUGUAAAGCCCUUUUGUUGGGAAAGAAAAGCAGCAGGUUAAUACCCAGCUGUUCUGACGGUACCCAAAGAAUAAGCACCGGCUAACUUCGUG